CAAAAGAGAUAAAGCCUUUUAUGGAUUCCACCACAGACUUGGGACUUCUCAAAUAUAACACACCCUUGAGUUCACAGAGGGUCAAAUGUGCUUCUGUGCAGUGGGUUAGCACAAAUCUUAUCAUCAUGAAAGUUCCUCAUAAAUCUUGGACACGGGAUUUUUCUCUUUAUGGAGAUCAUUUUUGCCUAACUCAAAGUACAUUUUGUAGUGAAUAGGAAUGUGAGUGUUUGGAGAGGCCUUUAAACAUCGUUUGUAGUUAAGAAGCCGAAUACAGUGCAGAUAUGGACAUUGCAAUGCAGACUUUAUUAAUCAGUGAUCACACGUUGAUUUCUUCAUAAAGUUAAAAACAUGUAAAUGUGACCCACUAGAUUAAAUUCCAGAUGUUCCUUAGUCUCUAUUCUGGAUUUGCCAUUGUUUUGUACCUAUCCAGGGUUCAGUCACUUCAAUUUUUUUAAGUAUGGAAAACUUACAAUAUAGGAUAUUUCCUUAGUGCCUAGUAUAGCAGCAGAUGUUGAUUAAUGUGUCUGCAACUUCACGAAGUUCAUACAAUGCACAGAAACAUAACUCUUUGUGUAGCAAUUUCCCCAGGGUACAGAAAUUCGUGCCUACUUUAGACAAAUUUUAUUUUCUCCUUGACAGCUUUGUUGAUAUUAAAUGACUGGAAUUCAAGCUGUGUUUAUGGGUUACAACUGGUUGCAAUCUGUAAGACUUGUUCAUCCCUGACUAUGCAAAUUUAAUUCUGAUCCUAUGUUUCAGAGAAACUGCUUGUUGGAGCAAGAUUUAGAAUUUGUUUCCCAUUAAUAUUUAAGCUUGAGCUUAAAAUUUUCACUAACAAACUUCAGAUGCACAAUUAUACCUAGAAGUCUAAUAUGGAAAGGUCAGUAAGAUGGUUGGAAAAAGAAAAAAAGUCCUGAAAACUCAAAAAAGUAUUUACAGGAAAUAUUAAUGUACUUCUUACCUGGAUCUAGCAGAAAAAUUAGAGGAAAAAUGUAUUGUCAUGUAUUUUACUCCUCUCCCCUUUUAUCUAUUUUGUUGUAGUUCUAUGUUUUUUUGAUUGUUUGUUCACUUUUUUGCUUGUUCAAUUGUGCUUUUUCUUGGAGAGUGGAUUUAUUGACUUUCAAGCUACUACUGAAUCACAAUAUUUUUAAGGUUGGAAAAAAACCUCUUGAGAUCUCCUCCAAACCUCCUGCCCAAGGAUGGUUAGCUAGAACUGGUUGCCCAGGACCACGCACAGUCAAGUUUUGAGUAUUUCCAAAAGCAGAGACUCCACAGCCACUCUGGACAACAUAAUCCCAUGUUUGAUCACCUUCCCAGUAAAAUAUGUAUUUUUUAUUAAGUUGGAAUUUUAUAUGUUUGGAUUUGUGACUUUUGUUUCUUGUGCUGACAUUGGGCACUUCUGAGAAGUAGUCCAGCUUAAUCUUCAUUCCUUUCCAUGGUGUCAUUACAUAAAUUGAUAAGAUUUCUUUGUUACAUUGGCAUAUUGCUGCCUCAUGGUCAGCUUGUUGUCCAUCAAGACCCUGAGGUUCUUCUCUGUAAAGUUACUUUGCAGUCAGUUGUGUUCUGCACAUAGUGCUCCCUGAGGGUUAUUCCUCCCCAGGCGCAGGACUCGGCAUUUCCCUUUGUUGAAUGUAAUAUGAUUCCUGUAGGCCUGUUUUCUAGACUUCCCAGGUCUAUCUAAAUGGCAACACAACCCUAUCACAUAUCAGCUAACUGAUAAAAUCUCCCUGUUUUAUGUAAGCUGGAAACUCACAGAGUUUCCUCUGUCCCCUUGUCUAGGUCAUUAAAGAAGAUGCUAAACAGUGCAGACACAAAAUCGACCCCUGGAAUAUGCUGCUAAUGACAUACUUCCAACUGUUACUUUCUGUGGCUGAAUACAGAGCUCUGGGCUUGGAUGUUUAGCCAGUUUUCAAUCCAACUCACUGUCAUCAGUUUGUCUCUGGCUACGUUAUGGGGAGAAAACAUUACUAAAUUCAAGAUAUUCUUGGUAAAGGUCUGACAAAAGAAAGAGCAGGAAGGUGCUUUCCUAAUCUGACACUACUCUGAAAAAAAAAUUACAAGAAAAGCGUGAUCACUAUACACAGAAUUACAGAUGUCUAGGAAGGCUGCUUCUCUACUGUUCCUGAAAUCAAAAUGGACAUGGGAAGAAUCUAUCUAUCAUGGUUGUUGGUUUGUGCAUCCUGGUACAUGAACAAUUUGAAUUUCUUCUGCCUAUCACAUUUCUAUUAAGUCCAAGAGUUAAACUGGUGAUUCUGAGAAUGCUCAUGAACAGUGGAAUGCAUAGGUUCAUUAGUAAUUUCAUUUCCUUGAGACGCUGUAAGCUUUCUCAGUCAAUUUUAGGCUUUAAUCAAAUUUCAGGUGCCUAUUUUGAUUUCAUUUCUGAUUUUCAGUACUUUGAUCUUCUGUACAAAAGGUGGGAGGGGGUAGGUGAAUGGAGAGCUAUCCCUAAAUGGAAAUGGUUGUUUCCAUUAUCAGUCACAUCAGAGGUGCUGGUAGUACUCAGAGUGAAGAAAUUAGAAAGACACUGAGACCACAUGCUAGCAUGUUAUACAUAUUUAUACUGGUUAGAAAAAAGGCAGGAAGAUUUCCCAAAUUUGUUUUCUGUAGCUGGAGGAACAUCUGGGCACCAGGUCUGUGGUUUGAGGACCCAAGCUCUAUUUUCACUUCUGAUAGAGCUUUCUUGACUCAGUGUGAACAAUUUACUUUUUCUCAGACUGCUUCUGCAUGUAGAAAAUUAGACUACUCCUGAAUAGAAUUGUUGGAAGACUACAUUAUUCUUUGUGGGGUGCUCAUACAUGACACUAUGUGACUGCAAAAUACAGGUUUGUCAGGAUCUGAAUGACAAAAAGUAGCUUCAGUUUUUUGGUCUAUUACUUUUCCUUGCAUGGCAGAGUGGAUAUUGGUUGCAUGAAAAUUUUAACAGUAUUCUGUGAAAGCAAAAUAAGAAGGAAAAGAAGAAAAGUUCUGUCAAGAGAACUUUUCUGGUAUCUGAUCCCUCUUGCAAAUAAAAUAAAUCGUGGCAUGUAGUAACAUGUUGAUUUCCUUAUAAAAUAGUUGAGCCAGUUUUUAAUUGUCUGCUUACAAAGAUUUGCACUGAACUAGAACUGAUCUUAGAAUCAUUUCCCUUUCAAGGAAAUACGCUGUACAUAUUUUCUUGUCUGACUGCCUACUAUAUUUUUUUUAUUUUUUUUGUCGUAUGCUAGCAUCUGAUAUGUUCAGUUAAAUACUUUGUAGUUAUUACUGUUCCCUAGAAUGAAAGACCUGGACUUCAGAGCAAAACAUAUUCCUUCUUCUAUUAUAAACUCCCAAACUUUUAAAAAGCAUGCAGUUAAAAAUAAAGAAAACAAAAACAACAAAACAUAUGCACCUUGACUGCCAUUUCUGGGAGUGAAUUAUCACAUACUUUUGCUAAAGUGUAGCAAAACAGCCACAAUUUUUCUGAUUAAUUUUAAGUGUAGUGACAGAGAGACUGUUAAACUGAGAGACAGACGAUGUAAAUCCAGAAGCAAGUAAUAUGUAUAUUUCAACCAUCUGGGCUUUUGCUCGUUUCAAUAUUUGUUUGCUAGCUCAUUCUCCUAUCUGUAAUCUAGAGGUUUAUGGCAAAGUAAACCUAUUAAUCCUAACAACCGUAUUUUCAUUUGGAAGCUGGACCAACUGUCAGUAAACAUCGAAAGAACUGCUCAGUCUUCAGAAGACAUGUUAAAGGAGGGGGUUAGUGCAUUACACAAUUGUUGGAGGAAAAAUUCUGUAUUGGUUUUAUUGGUGCUGCUAUUGCUUGUGAACCUUGCAUGUCUCCCCAGAUUUUGGGUGGCUGAAGACUUAAUAUGCCAUCUCUUUGAGGAUUUUUCUGUGUGUGUCUUAAUUUAGACCUGCAUUUCAGCAUGGUCUUCAUUUUUAGUAUUAAUCAAAAAUCUUUUUAGCUCUAGGACUCUGACCCUUUUAAUGGCAUUUCAAACUUGAUGAAAGAUGGCUGAUGUCAGUGAAUAUGCAAAUACUCAGCUGCAAUCUUUCUACUGAAUUCUGUGCAUUCUGUCUCACUUCCUUGGAGUGAAACACAUUCUGUGAGUAACAUAAAUACAUCUUUCCCCUGAAUUUUUAAUUUAAUUCCUGAGACUACUUAUGAGAUCAACACAGUAAUCAAUAUGAGAGUGAAGAAUCUGCACUGAAUGUUGUCAUUACCAUCACAUAGUCCAGGAUUUAAAUGUAUCCUUUCACUUUGUGGUAUUUUGUGAUCAGGAAGUAACAGAGUAACAGUUUUAUUUUGGGUCUAUACUGCUUACUUGUGUUUGAACAGUCUACACUUUUACACUAUUUAUGCACCCAUGGAAUGUGUGAUACGUAGCUGAAAAUGAAAAGGCAUACCUAAAUUUUACCUUUUAAGGUUUUGCAAAAUAAAAAAACAAAACCAAAACCAAAA
Long non-coding RNA from Coturnix japonica (Japanese quail), 4414 nucleotides. RefSeq lists it as uncharacterized. NCBI's taxonomy places the organism in Eukaryota, Metazoa, Chordata, Aves, Galliformes, Phasianidae. The record is from RefSeq and is a predicted model, not a curated record.